ACAUGUCAAGUUUUUGCCUAAAUGGAAUUUUCCAAGUGGCAAAAUAGGGGUUUGAAAAUUCCAGGAAAUGGAAGAGUGCACAGUACUUGUCGGAGUACAGUACAAGUGCAUGGACAUAGAUAGGGAUGCAUGCCAAUGCACCAGGGGGUAUAUGGUUGAAUUUAAGUCUUAAGUUUGACGUGGUUUGUCCAAACUGUCUCUUGUCUAUCCACCUGUUUGAAAUUGCCACAUCAUCCUGCCACGUGGCAUAAUAGGAGUCCCAUGGAGAGAAGCCUCUCUACACUGGACCGUG
Molecule: long non-coding RNA, 292 nt
Organism: Telopea speciosissima
Lineage: Eukaryota; Viridiplantae; Streptophyta; Magnoliopsida; Proteales; Proteaceae
Exons: 2
Source: RefSeq, a predicted model, not a curated record